Long non-coding RNA from Dioscorea cayenensis subsp. rotundata (Guinea yam), 105 nucleotides. RefSeq lists it as uncharacterized. The record is from RefSeq and is a predicted model, not a curated record. The transcript is spliced from 3 exons. Lineage: Eukaryota; Viridiplantae; Streptophyta; Magnoliopsida; Dioscoreales; Dioscoreaceae.
UGAGAAGAUGAUGUGACUGAAUUUUCACUCAAGAUACAAAGAAAAUAUGGAAGUUCCAGCAAAGAUACUUCUUUUACAAGAUCAAUUUCUGCGGCAGCACUUGAG